AGAGGACUCACGAGCAGCUGGCCACACCGAUGCAGAGGGAUGACAUGAAUCUGACUGAUGACAAAUCAGUGGUUCAGGAAGCAUGACUCAGAUUAAACCAAGAAUUGGAAUAUACCUCUAAGAAUGUUUAAUUCACCAAAAAUUGUCAGCAGUGUCCAACACAGAUGUAUCUACUCGAAUGUGUUUAGUAAAUUAAAACAAAACCAAACCCUGAGAUCUGGAGGCCUCUGUGAACCAGAAAUAUCAGCUGAUUGAGCAGCUUGUGAGCAAACCAUAAUCCUUAACGCGCCAGCGUGGCAACUCCUGACGUAAGUAUUCCCACCGACUUCAGUGGCACUUCAGUAUGAAAGCUUGA
RNAcentral lists this long non-coding RNA (355 nucleotides) under Dromaius novaehollandiae (emu). RNAcentral's name for it is "lncRNA (ENSDNVG00000017659.1)". Lineage: Eukaryota; Metazoa; Chordata; Aves; Casuariiformes; Dromaiidae. The record is from RNAcentral.